GAUUUUGGGCCUUUUUUUUUUUUUCGUUAAGUGCAGCAGGGGCCAUUUAAGCUGUGCAUCAUAGAAGAGGUUUUAGCUUGACACUGAAAGAAAGCAAUCGAACUAAAUUCGCCAAACAUUAUGCAAAUACUAGAAUCACCAAAUUCCCAGAAUACAGUUAUUGACUCAAAGUUCAUGUUACAUUUGGUGGGCAAGGGACAUAAGAAAGGGGGAAAAACCAAAAUGUCACAUGUAAGCCAUGACUUUCCUGGUAUUUUUUUCACCCAAAAGCAAAUUUUAAGCAAUGAAUCAGCAAAACUACCCUGGUAAACAGAUCCUAGCAAUCUAUACUAAUCACGCUCAUUGAUUUCUUAGAGACACCUAAUAACAAUAAAAUUUAUAAGCAAAUGCGUAUCCGGAAACCUAUUAACAAGAAAAUUAUUAACACAGAACUCGAGCUAACCACUUCCAACUAUAAAAGAAUAAGUUCCAGAUCAAACCAUAAACUGUAAUUCAAUAGAAGAACCAACAAAACCGAAAACAGAAAACCACAGUUACCAUCUCAAGGUGCCAAAAUAAACGAAACAUAAAUAUAAAAGCAAGUGUUCAAUGUAUAUAUAGC
RNAcentral lists this unclassified non-coding RNA (601 nucleotides) under Hevea brasiliensis (rubber tree). Lineage: Eukaryota; Viridiplantae; Streptophyta; Magnoliopsida; Malpighiales; Euphorbiaceae. The record is from RNAcentral.